AGCAGUCGCCGCGGGAAUACGGAGGGUGCAAGCGUUAUCCGGAUUUAUUGGGUUUAAAGGGUCCGUAGGCGGAUCUGUAAGUCAGUGGUGAAAUCUCACAGCUUAACUGUGAAACUGCCAUUGAUACUGCAGGUCUUGAGUAAAUUUGAAGUGGCUGGAAUAAGUAGUGUAGCGGUGAAAUGCAUAGAUAUUACUUAGAACACCAAUUGCGAAGGCAGGUCACUAAGAUUUAACUGACGCUGAUGGACGAAAGCGUGGGGAGCGAACAGGAUUAGAUACCCGAGUAGUCCCUGUCUCUUAUAC
Molecule: ribosomal RNA, 303 nt
Filed under: uncultured bacterium
Lineage: Bacteria
Description: partial 16S ribosomal RNA
Rfam family: Bacterial small subunit ribosomal RNA
Source: RNAcentral